UGUGAGUACAUCUGCACGCACAGUGAGGCGAAAACCUUUGGUAGAUGGCCUGGUGUCAAGAAGGGCAGCAAAGAAGCCACUUGUCUCCAAGAAAAACAUCAGCGACAGACUGAUAUUCUGCAAAAGGUACCAGGAUUGGACUGCUGGGGAUUGGGGUAAAGUAAUUUUCUUUGAAUCCCCUUUCCGAUUGUUUGGGGCAUCUGGAAAAAGCUUGUCCGGAGAAGACAAGGUGAGCGCUACCAUCAGUCCUGUGUCAUGCCAACAGUGUAAAGCAUCCUGAGACCAUGUGUGGGGUUGCUUCUCAGCCAAUCGAGUGGGCUCACUCACAAUUUUAAGAACACAGCCUUGAAUAAAGAAUGGUACCAACACAUCCUCCGAGAGCGACUUCUCCCAACCAUCCAGGAACAGUUUAGUGAUGAACAAUGCCUUUUCCAGCAUGAUGGAGCACCUUGCCAUAAGGCAAAAGUGAUAACUAAGUGGCUUGGGGAACAAAACAUCAAUAUUUUUUGUCCAUGGCCAUGAAAGAUCCCCAGACCGUAAUCCCAUUGAGAGCUUGUGGUCAAUCCUCAAGAAGGCUGGUGGACAAACAAAAUCCCACACAUUCUGACAAACUCCAAGCAUUGAUUAUGAAAGAAUGGGCUGCCAUCAGUCAGGAUGUGGCCCAGAAGUUAAUUGACAGCAUGCCAGAGCGGAUUGCAGAGGUUUUGAGAAAGACGGGUCAACACUUGACUCUUUGCAUCAACUUCAUGUAAUUGUCAAUAAAAGCCUUUGACACUUAUGAAAUUCUUGUAAUUAUACUUCAGUAUUCCAUAGUAACAUUUGACAUCUACAUGUAGAGAUGAAAAAAUUUUUUUUUAGAUAUACUGUAGGCCUACCAAAGUUGUUGUAGGGCUUUUAUUUUACUACAUAUUGGUCUACCUACUCUGCUGGCGUCUUGACCCAGUGUAUGCCGUCAUUUGCAACGCAAACCCGGGCGGCAGUGUGUUUAGGGUUAUUGUCUGCCUGGGCCUGCAGGACGCAAAGUUCUUUGUUUGUCAGAUUAAUCAUUGGGUCAAAACUACAGAACAGUACAAAACAAGCGAAAGAACACACGUGGUUAAUGUUCUGAUAUUUAUUUUUAUAUAUAUAAUUUCUUACCGAGCCUUUCCGUAAGUCCACGCAAGUUUCAUCAACUGUCUUCUUACUGUAAUUAGAAUGAUGUUGAUGUCGUGCCGAGAUGCCAGUUGAUUACAGAUUGCCUUAGCUGAUCGUUCGUUAUCUUCAUUCAUCAGGGAGUCGAUGGCUUGAAUAGUCUCUAUUGAAAUGAAAUACAAUGUGAAAAUGUGCAGCAUACAUUAAAGACGAGCAGUCGAUUUAUUUAAGCAUUUUUUGUAUUAUUAGGCCUACAUUAAAGUAUCGUAGCCUACUGUACCUGUUCAUCUUCCUGGUCUUUCGAGUUCGGCGUAAAACAGGCAUCUGAGGAUAGUGUUUGCGAAUAGCACUGUCCGCGACACAAAUCCCCAAGUCUACCAGUUUAAAAAAAAAUGUCUACAGUAGAUUUUCCGUUCCUCCUGAAAGCACUAAUCUGCUCACUUAAAUGAACAGAGAUCCUGGUCACGGUGCUACAGUAUAAUCAAAGUGAGGACAAUCUGCUGUAUACUUAUAGCCUAUUGUAACCUGAAAGUCACGCCUUUCCUCCCCCCCCCCCCAAAACACCACCCUUGACACAGUUACCAUUCAAAAACGAGCUGUUAAAUAAAUAAAAAAAAUCACAUUACGACCAAAGAGAACAGACGAAAUGGACGUUUUCAUCAAGCCAGCUUCUUUCUAUGGUGCUACCCGUUCCAGGAUUAGGACUGUAACCACCAGAGGACUUGAAAAUGAGCUGGAGCUGAGAGAUCACCAAAACUAAAGGUGUUUUGGUUUCAGAGCAUUUGAUAUUAAAAAAGAAAAGGUGUGUAUAUAGCCUAUCAAUGUGUAGGCACUGUAUACUGUAUAAUGAAUGUAUACUGUAUAAUAAAAUUGAUAAUUUUGUACUAAAAACCUGACUGUUUUUGCAGAACUGGUUACCAACGUAAUUAGAAGAGUACAAAUAAUUGUUUUGUAUAUGGUCUGACAUACUACUGAUGUCAGCCAAUCAGCAUUCAGGGCUCGAACCAUCCACCUUAUAAUUACAAAUAAUUUGGAUGCUGCAAAUUAACUACAAGAACCCCAAACAGAUAUGUUUGACUAAAAGUCAUUUUAAACCUAGCUUACAUUUGUAUACGAUCACGUCUCUUUUAUGCGUGGGAAUACUUGGGAACAGAUUUUCAAAAUUCAAAUUACUACGAGCUCAUUUCCACAAUGGAAAAAUAAAUACAAAACACGCAUGCCAAAUUUGUCAUGCGUGUCACCAGUUGGGGAACCCUGCCGUAUGUGAUGUAAACAGAGGUAUCUACUUUCUUGGGGACCUGAGUAUUGACUGGUUUUCAUCAAGCUGUCUGCUCAAGAGAAAGCUUUUCACUGUAACCAGUACCUGUAAUCGGAUUCAGAUUAUUAAUCAACCUACCAGGGUGUUUACAAACACUACAAGAAGAUGAUCAUCCACAUGAUCACAAUAUAGUGGCUUUAUCCAGGAAAGCCGAAGUUCCACAAGCUGGGUCUAAAAUAGUAUAUAAGAGCUACACAAAAGAUUUGGCUGUGAUUGAUGUGGAUUAUGUUACAAAUAUUUGUUGGUUUGUGAUUAAUAAGCAGCGCUUUAUGAAUUUAUGAAAUUGAUUCUUCCAAUUACUGAUAAACAUGCACCUGUUAACUGAUUGUCUUUGGUCUGCAGCAUUUUGAGUAGAACCUUGUUACUUUGAGUAACGUUCAACAAAACUGCCUGAAUGUUAUCAGGCUGAGCGCGCCUGUUUGUAGAUAACUCGUCAGAUUUAUCUAGUUUGGUGUGGACAUCAUCGUAUUUAGUUUUGGCUAUAUCGAGUUAUUCCUGUAGCAUAUGAUUUUGUUCCUGUAGAAGACGAUUUUGUUGAAGAUUUUGUGCUUGUUCAUCGUCACACGUUUUUGAAAUUACAUUUAAUAGUUCAGUUUUCAACCGCAGUUCCAUAGCUAGCAGAAUUUUGCCCUUUUCUGCAGUUGUCAUUGGUUUCCCGGUUCUCUCCACCUGUCCCUUUAUGUCUACUGUUACCUGCUCGUGCUUCAGCUGUGAACUGCGGUAUUAGACUGAUGCCCAUUUCGGAUGGCAAGACAUCAGGGCUAGAUUGGAGAGAACCUUUACGAAGCCUGCGCCCGAUGGUUGAUUUUGGAGAGCGUUGUUUGGUCUGUGAUGGGACGUUUUUUUUCUUCACACAUAUCUCGGCUAUUAGGCUGUUCUUUAGUAAAGGUUGAAUAGUCUAUUGUUCAGCUAUUAGCCCCCCUCCCCAACUUGCAACAAAUGGUUGUUACUCCCAUCACGUUCCUCGCACUUUUCCACGCGUCAUUCUCCGCCUGAGUGGCUUGCUUUUGGGUCUGCUGGCAGGAUAUGGCAGCACCUUCGGUUGUGCAUCAAGAAUUCUGCGUAGCAGGUUUGUAUGAAGGUCUGGUUAUUCACAGGCAAAUUGUUAUAUGCUAUGGAGGUACAUUUGUGUCUUGUUGAGAGCAAAAGUUUUAUUUUCAAUCAAAAAAUUGUUCUGAAAGCAAAAACGAGGCUAACAAAUAUUUUGUAAUAGAGCGCAAAACUUUAUCCAUUUUAUUCACAAAAUAUUUCGAGAACAAAAAAUGUAUUUGAAAACAAAACUCCAAUUUAAUUUCGUUAUCAACCACCCUCCAUUUUAGCAAUUUUUUGAGUGUCAGUUUGGCUACCACCAAAACUGUUCAGCCUUUCUUUCCGACACAAAGGAAGUCAUAGCGGACACCUACGAAGGACUAUGUGAUGAUGGCAUCUCAGGUAAGCAGUACUGGGCGUUCUUCCGUCCAAUGCAUGCAAACGUUGAAUGAUAGAUCAUGCAAUUAUUAUUCUCAAGCUAACCAAAAACAUUUAGCUUCGAACGCCUAUUCUCGCCUUUUUCAGGUGAAUUAAUCUAACUUUCUUUCAUUGCAACUCGUAAGCAGGCCAUGUCCUAUUUGUUUCAUAGUUGAUAUGUAAUUAUAUUUUAUGACUGUAACGGUUAGCUUUUUUUAACAGAAGGAUGAAAGAACACUGUCUGUCAAAUAAUACUAUUCUGAUAUGUCAGAUGAAGAGUUAGACCAGAAAGUCAGGGCCAUGAAGGCCAGGAUGCCUCAUGGGGGCUUUAAAAACGGUCAAAGGAAGUCUCCAAGCAAUGGGCUAUCGUGUACAAUGGCGAAGAGUUACGGAGUCUUUGCAGCGUGUAGAUGGUGCAGGUAUCAUUGCCAGAAUGAUCCAGCUUCAUUGCAUUGCGUGGCAAAAAUACUCUGUUCCUGCUCCCCUGUCUCUCGUCCACACUGAUACAAAUCAUGCAUGUAUAAGAUACAACAUUGUCAUCUUGGGCAGUAUUGAUUACAUUUUCAAGGAAGAGUGCGAGCUGAUCAAGGGGUUGAAAAUGUAGAUAUUGCCAGAUGUAUGUUCACUGUCCGAGAAACAGGCUGGCAAAACUGUCCAUAACCAGAGGUAAUUAAACUGUUCUGUGUUAUUUUUCUCUCUUCCCCUCUGCCUGCCUUGAUGUACAUGGAAUCUGUCUCACAUGCAUUCAUUGUAAUAUAAUAUUACAAUUAUAAUAUUUAUAAAACAUGUAUUAUGUAUUUAUUACACCUGGAUAAUGAACUUUCAAUAAAGCGUUUCACAUUC
Non-coding RNA from Oncorhynchus mykiss (rainbow trout), 4738 nucleotides. Lineage: Eukaryota; Metazoa; Chordata; Actinopteri; Salmoniformes; Salmonidae. The record is from RefSeq and is a predicted model, not a curated record.